CUACCCUUGACAUGUCAGGAAUCCCGGAGAGAUUUGGGAGUGCUCGAAAGAGAGCCUGGACACAGGUGCUGCAUGGCUGUCGUCAGCUCGUGUCGUGAGAUGUUGGGUUAAGUCCCGCAACGAGCGCAACCCUUGUCAUUAAUUGCCAUCAUUUAGUUGGGCACUUUAAUGAGACUGCCGGUGACAAACCGGAGGAAGGUGGGGAUGACGUCAAGUCCUCAUGGCCCUUAUGGGUAGGGCUUCACACGUCAUACAAUGGUCGGUUCAGAGGGUUGCCAACCCGCGAGGGGGAGCUAAUCUCAGAAAGCCGAUCGUAGUCCGGAUUGCAGUCUGCAACUCGACUGCAUGAAGUCGGAAUCGCUAGUAAUCGCGGAUCAGCAUGUCGCGGUGAAUACGUUCCC
This 401-nucleotide ribosomal RNA is filed under the name uncultured bacterium. RNAcentral's name for it is "bacterial SSU rRNA". It matches the Rfam family "Bacterial small subunit ribosomal RNA", at positions 975 to 1375 of the family's 1533-position model. The record is from RNAcentral.